GACAACAACAAAUCGGACUUGGAGUGUUUUUAUUGUUAAAUAUUUUUUAAGCAUUGAACGAUUAGUGUGUGUGUUUACGAUGGAUUAUUAUAAUAUUAUGAAUGUGAAUAACAGUGUUAUGAUAUAUAACCGGAAUGAAACUGGUGAGACUGCAUUUUCGAUUUCGUUAAAAUGUCGAAUAAAGCGAUGUUUUGUUGAAUGAUUGAUGGAUUAAAUUUAAGAAAAGUGUAAGUGAAUUGUUCUUUAACUGUUCGAAUGAAUUCGAUGUUGAAUUAAAAUUGUAAUUACUUUGAUGAAUAAGUCGUUCCUUUGUCAGUGGAUCAAAGAAUGUCUAUCCACAAAGAAUUGCCUGCUUACAUCCAGUGCUUUAAAAUGGAAGAGAUGGAUUACGAUGAAGAAAUGUGUUAAGAAUUUUAACUCGUCAUGGAAGCAAAUUAAACUUUACAAAAAUAAACAUGGUUAUUACACAACUUCGCGGGAGCAUAUAUAAUAUCUCGUGACGUUCGGAGACAAUGCGCUGUUGAUAAGAAACUAUGAAGAAAUGAGAUAUGUGAUUAAUAGGAAAGAGAGCUAUAUAAUGAGUGUAUACGGAGACAUCGUGAAACAACGGACGCUGAUGGUUAUUAUCAUUACACCUUUAGCCAAAGUGUGAGCCUUCCUCAUUACUUCAACCAGAUGGGACCGCUAUACUAACUGUCUUUGAUGAAGAUCCAUAUCUUUGGUUUUAGAAUAGAUGGCGAGCCGCGCCAACUCAAUUUCAUAAUUGAUGAAAAUCAGACUAUGGCUAAAGAUGGUUGCGAAGCUCAAGGCCCGAACGCUGUCAUCUCAAUUAUUGAUUGGGCGAUCAAAAAACAUGGCGUUAUUACGGCGUAAUUUGUCAUUCGUGUAGAUUGUGCCAUUACAGCACGUACAUAAAUCAACUCAAUGAAUAGUUCUUUUAUGCAUUUUUAUUCAGUUUUUGACAUAAUGUUUCCUGGUCAAUAUAAUUAUUUAAAUUAGUUGUUAAUGCAAUAUUCCCAAGUCCAUGUAAUUCUCCAAGUAACUAAUAACGUUUCCAAGAUGACAAAAUCCGUGUAAAUCACCCAGACAGGACCCAUCCCAGGUAGGGCCCUGCAGAUAAACCUCUAGCGUGUCUCCUAUGGGUUAACUCCUUUCUGUUUUAGAUUCAAAAGAAGCAUUGCUUAAUAUAUACCUGUAUCGUUACAUAAACAUGUCAACUUGAUGGGUCAAACCAAUUUUUUUAAAGCAUAUACGGGCAUAUUUAUUAUCUGGUAAUUGACUCGACGCGAAAACAACCAUCUAUUAACCAUGUAAUCUUGUCAUGUUAUAAUUUAAACGGACUGAACCCAUUUACAAGCGUGCAUCAACUGUCAACAAACUAAUGAGUUCCGGCCAAACUGACGUUAACACAGGACAUGCAUUAUUGCGAACAAGAUAUAUACAUCAAGUAUGCGACAAGAUAACUGUCCAGGUAUACAUGUGUAUAAUAAAUCUAUACAAUAUAGGGAUAAUACACGUUUUCGAGGGCAUGAUUAUCUGCGGGCGCUCGAAAAAUCCGUUCCCGCAGAUGAUCAUGUCCGAGAAAAUGUGUAUUUUCGCUAUUAUUGCAUAAACAAAUCACACAUACCAAAAUAAUUUUAAAUAACAUUGAAAACAAUUUUUGUUCAUUCGACAUCGACAAAAUAAUUUGAUUAUUUCAAUACAGUUCAAGGUUGUGUUUUACAUAUGCCUCACUCGGUCAUCAUACGAAAUGACGAGGCUUUACCUCGGAUAGGCAAUUUUCGAUGUAAAAUGUGUUUAAACAGUGGAUUAAUGCAAAGUUGAAAUGCAGCCGCGCAAAGUAAGAAAUGUGGAAUUAUUUUGGAAUUUACAGCAGGAACGUUGAAGGUACAUUAACACUUACAUUUACAGCAGUCUUUUGAAAGUGUUGCGUAAAUAACCUUAACUUCAUUGACGUUGCCAAUAAAAUAAAGCUGUUGUCAAGAGAGUGCAGAUGGUAUAACUUGAAAAGUGGAUUGAAAUAGUCAUUAUCCCUGCAUGCAUGAGGAAACUGGUGCUUAUUCAGUUCCCCAUUUAUGCUUGGAAAGUCGUCGAAGGCUGGAGAAGGAAAGUAACUGCGCGUGGACCAGAUUAUGGAUAUGAAACACACAUAACAGGGCUUGAACGGCAAGUGAAUCGCAUUGUUAAUACAAGAUUGCCAAGUUUCUGUACCCCGCCACAGGGCAUUAAAGAUAGAGUUUAUGCAAUAAUUCAUUUUUUUUACACUUUGUGAGAUGUGUGUGUCACAUUAGCGUAUUUUUUAUAGUUAACUUUUUUUCUUAAUUGCAAACAUGCAUUGUAUGAACAAAUUUAAUAAUAUUAUUAAUUACUGACAUAUAUGUAAGUAUCUUAAACUAAUGUUUUAUCAAACAUUAUCUUUAUUUUUUUUAUAUUUCAGGUCAAAUCAAAAUCCGGUUCCUGUUGGGCUACUUUAUGUAGCAAGUUAUUACUGGACAGAAACACACAAUCGAGUACCUUAUUCAGAUACCCGGUUGGUUACUCAACGCAAGAUACUGAUAUUUAAAUUGAUUCGCAAAUUUGAACGCAUGAGUGCUGGAUGAGUAUAGUCCUUUAACAUUAUCAAGCAGUUUUAGGUGUCAAACGAUUUUGAAAUAUUAAUUGGUUGAUUUAUAGCGCCUCGGUAAUGUUUAAUUUAGAGGGUUUAAACCAAAGAUCAGCACUCUAGAAAGUAUUGGAGAAUUUACGGAAAUCGUAUAAUGCGAAGAUGUAUAUCUUAACAAUAUAUUGUUGUCAUUGAAAAGCAGUUAAAAGUUACCAUUAGAAAGCUUAAAAUCGUGAUAUGUCUAUAACUUCGUGGCAUGAAUUGGUUUUAUAUUUUCGUAUAGAUAAGUACUAUGAAAGCAAUGAAAGGCAAUUAUUCCAUUAUGGUGAUGUAUCUCAAAUAAAUACCCAUAAAAUAAAUAGCGAAAGUUUUUUAUAUAUUCAUUAGAAAUAAGGUCAUCACCAUUAGAUUUCCCGUUUUUCUAAGUUAUGUAUUGUUUUCUUAACUUCGUUUUCAUUUAUCACGUACUGGAGACAAAUGCUUUUUCAAUAUUCGGAACGUAGGUUAUGCAAUUAUCUUCACGCAAAUAAUUUAUGAACUCGAAACACAAAAUGGAUUUAUAUUUUCUUUCAAGUGAUUAUAUUUUGUUACUUAGAUGAUUUACAUAAUUCCCGUAUUUUUUAUAUGAAUAAUGGCUAAUUGCGCGCAUUGAAUGCAAUGGGCCAUUGGCAACGGUCUUUUGUAUAUUUAUUGUAUUUGUUUACUACUUGCUUUGUUGAUUUCGAUUUUUUUUCAGGACACAUAUUUUUGGUUCAUUUGUGAAACUGUGCGCAGUUUUAUAAUUAUCAUGGAACCAUAUUUUCUUAAAUAUUAUAUUCGGGUGUUUUGGCUCACUUCACUAGGACGUGUUGUUUUGCUCUCCAAUGUGAUCUUUAAACAUGCCUUCGUCUCUUGAUAUUCACCAAUAAGGUUGGCUUUAGUAUUCAAUGAAGCAAAUUCAUUGGCAGCAUCAUAACAAGAGGAGAGGUAAGUUUAUUCGUUUGAAUCAAUGUAUUUCUUGAUCACGGAAUAA
This is a long non-coding RNA of Dreissena polymorpha, 3614 nucleotides long. RefSeq lists it as uncharacterized. The record is from RefSeq and is a predicted model, not a curated record. Lineage: Eukaryota; Metazoa; Mollusca; Bivalvia; Myida; Dreissenidae. The transcript has 3 exons.